GAGUCCAGAGGAGGCUCCUGCCGAGGUGACUGUCAACUGGCCAGAGGUAGAGGAGGUGAGGGCUGGUCUGGCCGGGUGAGUCAGUUGGCUUUGGUUGUGGCUGCCCUCUGCCGGGUUUGGUUCCCAGGGUGGCGUGUGGGGUUGGUCUCAGCUCAGUGUCCCCAGGGGACCCCUCCUCUGGCCCACACCCACGGCUCGCCCCCUCCCCAGGCCCUGGUGCGCCUGCAGCUCUGGGCGAAUGUGGACGUGCUGCUGGUGGCCUCCUGGCAGGAGCUGAGUCAGCACGUGUGCGCCGUCACCAAAGCCCUCGCCCAGCGCCCCUUCAAGCAGUCCCAGGAGUCGCAGGCCUUUAACUUCUGCACAGCAGGGCGCUGGGCAGCGGGCAAGCCAUUGACGGGAGACAAUGGCGCAGGGCUACGGAGGGCCUGGUGGAGGCAGAUCAGGCAGUUUAACCGGGUCAGCCCAGCCGUGGCCGACGCUGUUGUCACUGCCUUCCCCUCCCCCCGCCUCCUGCAGCAGGCACUCGCGGCCUGCAGCUCGGAGCAGGAGCGCAGGGGUAUCCUGGCGGACCUCCCCGUGAAGGCCAAUGACGGCCGGCGGCCCCGCAGGGUGGGGCCCGACCUCUCCCGCCGAGUGUACCUCUUUCUGACCACCACCAACCCCGACCUCCUGCUGGACCUGGGCUCCUGACCACGGCUUCGGGACCCAGCGGAGGCCUCCUGCCUGCCAGCGGGACAGCACGUGGCCCCAGGGAUUGACCAGACACCUUUGGCCCAACAAGUACUGUCACCCUGGAGUGGGCUCCCAGCCUCUGAUCUCAGGGGAAGGGCAAGGGGUGGCAGGGAACAUUUUUGGAUAACAGAGCUGAACAGAACAGGAAGUUCUUUC
RNAcentral lists this long non-coding RNA (888 nucleotides) under Microcebus murinus (gray mouse lemur). RNAcentral's name for it is "lncRNA (ENSMICG00000048185.1)". The record is from RNAcentral. Lineage: Eukaryota; Metazoa; Chordata; Mammalia; Primates; Cheirogaleidae.